This 460-nucleotide ribosomal RNA is filed under the name uncultured bacterium. RNAcentral describes it as "partial 16S ribosomal RNA". It matches the Rfam family "Bacterial small subunit ribosomal RNA", at positions 338 to 795 of the family's 1533-position model. The record is from RNAcentral.
CCUACGGGAGGCUGCAGUGAGGAAUAUUGGUCAAUGGGCGCGAGCCUGAACCAGCCAAGUAGCGUGAAGGAGGACGGCCCUACGGGUUGUAAACCUCUUUUGCAGGGGAGCACCGGGCGCCAAGUGUGGAGUCACUGAGAGUACCCGGAGAAAAAGCAUCGGCUAACUCCGUGCCAGCGGGCGCGGUAAUACGGGGGAUGGGAGCGUUCGCCGGAUUUAUUGGGGUUAAGAGGUGCGUUGGUGGAUCGUUAAGUCAGUGGUCAAAUUGAGGGGCUCAACCCCUUCCCGCCAUUGAAACUGGCGUUCUUGAGUGGAAGAGAGGUAUGCGGAAUGCGUGGUGUAGCGGUGAAAUGCAUAGAUAUCACGCAGAACCCCGAUUGCGAAGGCAGCAUGCCGGCUUCCGACUGACGCUGAAGCACGAAAGCGUGGGGAGCGAACAGGAUUAGAUACCCUUGUAGUC